This 366-nucleotide long non-coding RNA is filed under the name Elaeis guineensis (African oil palm). RNAcentral describes it as "long non-coding RNA (EGUI_LNC067297)". The record is from RNAcentral. Lineage: Eukaryota; Viridiplantae; Streptophyta; Magnoliopsida; Arecales; Arecaceae.
GACUCUGCCGACAUCCAACCUUGGGCGGCAUAUCUCCGAACCUCUCCGACGGUCGAGCUUCCGCAACAUUCUCAAGUUCUGCCGAUGGACGAACUCCUGCCACAUCUUUCGGGCUUCUCCGACGAUAAGCUUCUUCGGUUGUCCAUCAGGCUGCUCCUAGUGCUCUCUAGAUCCUACCUUCGGUCGAUCUCCUACAAGGGUCAACCAUCCGCCAGACCCCUUUCGGAUCUUUUCCGACAGGAUUCGAUUGACUCCAAUCUGAAUUUCUUCCAGAGCUACAUCAGUUCGUCAGUGACCGAACUUUCCCAACAGCAGAUCUCCACGACGGAUGAGCUCCAUCCAAGUUUCUAUGGUGGUCGACUGCCU